This 454-nucleotide ribosomal RNA is filed under the name uncultured bacterium. RNAcentral describes it as "partial 16S ribosomal RNA". It matches the Rfam family "Bacterial small subunit ribosomal RNA", at positions 339 to 795 of the family's 1533-position model. The record is from RNAcentral.
CUACGGGUUGCAGCAGUCGAGAAUAUUGGUCAAUGGGGGAAACCCUGAACCAGCGACGCCGCGUGCUUGAAGAAGCCCUUCGGGGUGUAAAGAGCUUUUCUGGGGGAUGAAUCCGCCGCAAGGCGGAUGACAGUACUCCAGGAAUAAGAGGUUGCUAACUCUGUGCCAGCAGCAGCGGUAAUACGGAGACCUCAAGCGUUAUCCGGAUUUAUUGGGCGUAAAGAGUCUGUAGGCGGUCUGGCAAGUCUUUGGUUAAAUACCCAGGGCUCAACCUUGGGGGUGCCAGGGAUACUGCUAGACUAGAGGGCGCUAGAGGCUGAUGGAACGGUCGGUGUAGGGGUGAAAUCCGUUGAUAUCGACCGGAACACCAAAAGCGAAGGCAUUCAGCUGGGGCGACCCUGACGUUGAGAGACGAAAGCGUAGGUAGCGACAAGGAUUAGAUACCCGAGUAGUC